AUCAAACAGCCGAACGGUCCGUCACCUGCUAUAGUUUAAUGCGCAUGCGCUACAAUCCAAGAACAGUUGUUUGCCAGAGCGACCAGCCUUCAUGAACAUAACCUUAAAAAUUUUCACAAUUCUCGCUGGCACUUGUGCUUAACACUG
This is a long non-coding RNA of Diprion similis, 147 nucleotides long. RefSeq lists it as uncharacterized. The record is from RefSeq and is a predicted model, not a curated record. NCBI's taxonomy places the organism in Eukaryota, Metazoa, Arthropoda, Insecta, Hymenoptera, Diprionidae. The transcript has 3 exons.